Molecule: non-coding RNA, 868 nt
Organism: Peromyscus maniculatus bairdii (prairie deer mouse)
Lineage: Eukaryota; Metazoa; Chordata; Mammalia; Rodentia; Cricetidae
Source: RefSeq, a predicted model, not a curated record
GAGCCAUGGAGCGUGCCACAAAAAAAAAAAAAAGAGACGCACUCUUCAUUGCUGACUCUUCAUGGCAGAGGAGUUACCAUUUCACCAAAACCUCCAGCUGGAUCCAGGACACAGAGACCUGCUGGCUUGUCCCACAGAGCUGCGCAUUGACCUUUGAAUGACCUUGGGUUCAUGGUUGAACAUCCUAGGGUUAUGCAGUGGGAAGCCUUCACUAAGAGUGAAUCUUGGGUUUCCUCUUGCCUCUGAGAGCCCCAGGAAAGCCAGUGUGAAGGUCAGUCCCGGUGGAAGUCACGGUAGCAGGACCUUGACGCAGACGAUCACACCGCACCCCUGCAGGAAGAAGAGUGAAGUGAGAGCUGGCGCUUAGCUUGCUCCUUCCUUUAUUAAGUUUGGGACCCCAGCCCCUGGGCUGGUGGCAUUCAGACUUAGGGUACAUUCGUUCACCUCAGUUAACCUAAUCUAGAAAGUUCCUAGAGACACACCCGGGGUCUGUGUCCUAGGUAAUUCUAGAUCCUUGUCAAGUUGACAGUCAGUAUAAGCUACCACUUCCCUUCUAGAUUGAUCUUUAGUUUUUACACAAGGUACAUUUAUUCUGUUAUCAUCAAAUUUGGGAACAUUGGAAGAAUGCUUAAGAGAAAUUUCCCUUAUCUCCUCUCUGCUCAAGGUCAAAUCGACAAAGGAAUGAAGUGAUUCCUGAGUGUGAAUACUCUGAUCUUUCUCAUUUGAUUCCCUUUGUGCAUGAGCACAAAAGAGAUGAACCUUGGGCAUCAUUACUCUGUUGCAGAAUAUUAUUUUAAGAUGUGUUACUUUUGUUUAUGUUGCAUUUGUUUAACUCUGUAAAGCUGUGUUACUGUGCCUGUCUAAAACA